AUGACGGUGCCCAUGCCGAUGGCCGCGACUAGGCCUUCCCGGACACCGGAACUUGUGGAACCUUACUGUUCUGAUGGAGCCGACGGUCUGCUCGACGACGACCGCGGCUUCGGCGUAGGCGGCCUGCCCCAGCGACGCCAUCCUGGCGACGACAUUGGACAUGACUGCGCCGGAGAGGACGAGUGGCGGGAUGGUGGCCACCAUGACGAGGGUGAGGAGCCAGCCCUGCGCGAAGGCCACGGCAAAGCCUCCAAAGAACGUCACCAUCAGCUGGAUGAACUUGCCGACCUUUUCCCCCAUGGCGUCCUGGAUGAGCACCGUGUCGCCGGACAUCCGCCCGACGACCUCGCCGGUGCUGGUGUACAUGUCGAAGAAGGCGAUCUCCUGCCGUAG
RNAcentral lists this ribosomal RNA (393 nucleotides) under Triticum aestivum (bread wheat). Its description in RNAcentral is "partial small subunit ribosomal RNA". Lineage: Eukaryota; Viridiplantae; Streptophyta; Magnoliopsida; Poales; Poaceae. The record is from RNAcentral.